Paramuricea clavata is the source of this 351-nucleotide non-coding RNA. The record is from the annotation of a GenBank genome assembly. Lineage: Eukaryota; Metazoa; Cnidaria; Anthozoa; Malacalcyonacea; Plexauridae.
GUCGACACUGCCAUUUCAGGGCACGCUCAUUUUCAGGACUUUCGUCCCGGAUUCAGGUGUUCGCACAUAUGCCAUGUUGACUGCCAUGGUCAUUUUACCCUAAAACAGUUGAGAUUACCUGUCCUAAAUGAAUCGCAUACAAACUCAUAUACAGGUCCUUGACUACUUACUUUUCAAAAAUUGAAAAAGUGGCUAAAAAUGGACGAAACGUUUUUGCCAAUUUUAACCCUUUUUCAAAAAUUGAAAAAGUGGUUAAAAAUGGACGAAAAGUAAAGGCCUUACUUUUUUGCUGUUUUUUGGUCAUUUAUGAAAAAUUGAAAAAAUCGGCUAAAAAUGGACGAAAAGUAAAGG